RNA transcript from Larimichthys crocea (large yellow croaker), 1975 nucleotides. It is a transcript of the gene named serine palmitoyltransferase, long chain base subunit 1, with no coding region annotated. The record is from RefSeq and is a predicted model, not a curated record. NCBI's taxonomy places the organism in Eukaryota, Metazoa, Chordata, Actinopteri, Sciaenidae. The transcript has 16 exons.
ACCUGAAUGCAGCGUCACUGGUGACGUCACGUCACGCUCUCUUUAUACAUCCAUGAACGUUGGAGCAGGAAAACAAACAUGGCGUCCGGGCAGCAGUGGGUGUUGGUGGAGAUGGUGCAGGCGUUUUAUGAGGCUCCUGCUUAUCAUCUGAUUCUGGAGGGGAUCCUCAUACUGUGGAUCAUCAGACUUCUGUUCUCCAAGACGUACAAACUUCAUGAGACCUAUAAACUGACAGAAAAGGAAAAGGAGGACCUGAUUGAGGAGUGGCAGCCAGAGCCUCUUGUCCCUCCUGUUUCCAAAGACCAUCCAUCCCUCAACUAUGAUGUUGUCUCUGGACCCCCCAGACACAAGAUCAUAAUCAAUGGUAAGGAGUGCAUUAACUUUGCAUCAUUCAAUUUCCUGGGACUCCUCGACAAUGACCGGGUUAAGGAGAAAGCUCUGGCAUCACUGAAGAAAUACGGUGUGGGCACAUGCGGUCCAAGAGGCUUCUAUGGAACUUUUGAUGUUCACCUGGAGUUGGAGAGUCGUCUGGCCAAAUUCAUGAAAACAGAAGAGGCCAUCAUCUACUCGUAUGGCUUUGCAACCAUUGCUAGUGCAAUCCCUGCCUACUCCAAGAGGGGAGACAUAAUUUUUGUGGAUGAAGCAGCCUGCUUCUCCAUCCAGAAGGGUCUUCAAGCAUCCCGCAGCUUUAUCAAAUACUUCAAGCACAAUGACAUGGAGGAUCUGGAGAGGCUGCUCAAGGAGCAGGAACUGGAGGACCAGAAGAAUCCUCGUAAAGCCCGAGUAACCCGGAAGUUCAUUGUGGUGGAGGGGCUGUACAUCAACACUGCAGACAUCUGUCCUCUCCCUGAACUGGUGAAGCUGAAGUACAAGUACAAGGUACGGAUCUUUCUGGAGGAGAGCAUGUCUUUUGGUGUAUUGGGAGAACAUGGCAGAGGAGUCACGGAACACUUUGGGGUCAAUAUAGAUGACAUUGAUCUGAUCAGCUCUAACAUGGAGAACGCCGUGGCGUCCAUCGGCGGUUUCUGCUGCGGACGCUCCUUUGUCAUCGACCACCAGCGUCUGUCGGGCCAAGGCUACUGCUUCUCUGCCUCCCUGCCUCCAAUGCUGGCUUCUGCUGCCAUCGAAGCCCUCAACAUCAUGGAGGAGGAUCCAGGUAUUUUCACUGACCUGAAGGAAAAGUGCAAACAUGUUCACAAAGCCUUACAGGGAAUUCCAGGUCUGAAGUUAGUAGGAGAACCAUUUGCCCCGGCUCUUCACCUACAGCUGGAAAAAAGUUCAGGUUCCAGAGACUCUGACAUGCAGCUGCUGCGCACCAUUGUAGAUUCUUGUUUGGAACGACAAGUCGCUCUGACACUCGCUCGUUACCUGGAAAAAGAGGAACGUUUCCUUCCCCCGCCUAGUAUCAGAGUGGUGGUCACCGUCGAACAGACAGAGGAGGACAUGGAGAAGGCGGUGCGUUGUAUCAAAGAGGCGGCUUCAGCUGCCCUCAAAUGAUGAGAUGGUGUUUGUUGCUGCUCAAGCUAAGCAGACAUCACUGUGUAACGUUUCCUUAUCUUUCUUUUUGAAUUCUCUUAAUAAUUCUUUGUUUACUCUCAUUUAUCAUGUGUCAACUGCACUACAUGUACUACAUGCUGUAUGUCGUUGUGAGUGGAAGUGUGAUCUUUAGCAGGACUUCCUGUGGUAAACAAUAAUGGCUCUCAGUCAUUAAUGAAGAAAAACAGCUGCAGUAAGGAGAGUUGAUUUCUGCUCCAGAUGACUUGUUGCUUUUUACAAACUGACCAAAGAGAUGACAUUGUGCUCAUUGUUUUUAAUGUGUCUGCAGUCUACUAGCACAUGAAGUGAUUUUUAUAUGCCACUGUCACUGGAGGUUGUUUUCCAGUCCAUGUUACUUCUCUUGUUUGUUGCAUUCAGGUCGUUGCAUUUCUGGCCACUUUACUUUCAUGAAAUAUAAAAUAUAUCUGAUUUAAAUGAA